Molecule: long non-coding RNA, 653 nt
Organism: Lutra lutra (Eurasian river otter)
Lineage: Eukaryota; Metazoa; Chordata; Mammalia; Carnivora; Mustelidae
Exons: 4
Source: RefSeq, a predicted model, not a curated record
CAUCCACCCACCCCUGAGCUGGCAGCUCACCAGCACUGGGUCCAGGCAGGGAGGGAGCUACAUGCCUCAGGGAGGAGUAGGACGACCCACCAAGGAGGAGACCAGUGAACAGCCGCUCUCCUCUCCCUUAUGCCCCCACACUCCCUGUCUUCCUGCCACCAACCCAUCUGGGUCCCCACCACCAGCACCAUUUUAUGCAGCAUUCCAGGCUGGCUCUGAGGCGGUUUUCUGACCUUGACUUUGCUAUUUCCAAAGGUCAGUUCCACAAGAGGACAAUCAAUUAGAUAAGCUUACCAACUGUCAUAGAAGCAGUUUAAUAUUCUAACAAUUUGUCUAGCCAAACCAGCCGAAUUCAAGGACUCUGUUUCUCGUGUCCUCAAGGAACUGGAUCAAUCAGACAAGGACAUUUGCAUCCUCCCACCGCAGCUACAUGCGACUGCGUGGAGUCUGUCACCUGAAUGCCUCCUGCUGCAAAGGAUAGGAUGUUUAUGCUCCUAGAGUAAGGACCUUGUCUCUCCUUCACAACAGUCCGCUGGCCAGAGAUCACCUCAGAGUAGAAGCAACAUGUCUGUCUGCUGUACAGGGAAGACCUGGACCACCUUUCAGGGUUGGCUGUGCCUGUGUCAGGAAGCUGCUUUCCCACAUCCCUCAGU